UCUCUCCUACGGGAGGCAGCAGUGAGGAAUAUUGGUCAAUGGGCGAGAGCCUGAACCAGCCAAGUCGCGUGAGGGAAGACGGUCCUAUGGAUUGUAACCCUCUUUUGCCGGGGAGCAAAAAGCGGUACGUGUACCGCAUCGAGAGUACCCGGAGAAAAAGCAUCGGCUAACUCCGUGCCAGCAGCCGCGGUACUACGGAGGAUGCGAGCGUUAUCCGGAUUUAUUGGGUUUAAAGGGUGCGCAGGCGGCGAGUUAAGUCAGCAGUAAAAUUUCGGGGC
Molecule: ribosomal RNA, 278 nt
Filed under: uncultured bacterium
Lineage: Bacteria
Description: partial 16S ribosomal RNA
Rfam family: Bacterial small subunit ribosomal RNA
Source: RNAcentral